This 253-nucleotide ribosomal RNA is filed under the name uncultured bacterium. RNAcentral describes it as "partial 16S ribosomal RNA". It matches the Rfam family "Bacterial small subunit ribosomal RNA", at positions 524 to 776 of the family's 1533-position model. The record is from RNAcentral.
UACGUAGGGGGCGAGCGUUAUCCGGAUUCACUGGGUGUAAAGGGAGCGUAGACGGCCAAGCAAGCCAGGGGUGAAAGCCCGGGGCCCAACCCCGGGACUGCCCUUGGAACUGCAUGGCUGGAGUGCGGGAGGGGCAGGCGGAAUUCCUGGUGUAGCGGUGAAAUGCGUAGAUAUCAGGAGGAACACCAGUGGCGAAGGCGGCCUGCUGGACAGAAACUGACGUUGAGGCUCGAAAGCGUGGGGAGCAAACAGG